Molecule: ribosomal RNA, 487 nt
Filed under: uncultured bacterium
Lineage: Bacteria
Description: bacterial SSU rRNA
Rfam family: Bacterial small subunit ribosomal RNA
Source: RNAcentral
GAUGAACGCUAGCGGGAGGCUUAACACAUGCAAGUCGAGGGGCAGCAUAGGGUAGCAAUACUCUGAUGGCGACCGGCAAACGGGUGAGUAACGCGUAUGUAACCUACCCUGUACAGGGGGAUAACCCGGAGAAAUUCGGACUAAUAUCCCAUAACAAUAUCCGGAGGCAUCUUUGGAUAUUUAAAGUUCCGACGGUACGGGAUGGGCAUGCGUAACAUUAGCUGGUUGGUAAGGUAACGGCUUACCAAGGCUAUGAUGUUUAGGGGUCCUGAGAGGGUGGUCCCCCACACUGGUACUGAGACACGGACCAGACUCCUACGGGAGGCAGCAGUGAGGAAUAUUGGUCAAUGGGCGCAAGCCUGAACCAGCCAUCCCGCGUGCAGGAAGACGGCCCUAUGGGUUGUAAACUGCUUUUCCAGGGAGAGAAACUUACGCACGUGUUGCGUGACUGACGGUACCCUGGGAAUAAGCAUCGGCUAACUCCGUG